Molecule: transfer RNA, 82 nt
Filed under: Lachnospiraceae bacterium
Lineage: Bacteria; Bacillati; Bacillota; Clostridia; Lachnospirales; Lachnospiraceae
Description: tRNA-Tyr
Rfam family: tRNA
About the family: Transfer RNA (tRNA) molecules are approximately 80 nucleotides in length. Their secondary structure includes four short double-helical elements and three loops (D, anti-codon, and T loops).
Source: RNAcentral
GGGGGAAUUCCCGAGUGGCCAAAGGGGGCAGACUGUAAAUCUGUUAGCGACGCUUUCAGUGGUUCGAAUCCACUUUCCCCCA